Molecule: long non-coding RNA, 3255 nt
Organism: Carya illinoinensis
Lineage: Eukaryota; Viridiplantae; Streptophyta; Magnoliopsida; Fagales; Juglandaceae
Exons: 4
Source: RefSeq, a predicted model, not a curated record
UCAGUCGUGACACCUCAUGGACUCUGCACAACCUGUGCGUGGCAGAACCAAGCUACGCCAGCUACCAGAAGAUGCUGGAAAGAACCAAGCCACGUCGCGAGAUACUAAAGCACUGUCCCGAAGCCACCACGGAACCAGCCCAGUUCUGUCCAAGAACUCCUCCAGCCACCACGUUGCACUCUCCACUUCCAACUUAGUCUCCAUGGAUAGCCAACACCACUGUCAUAUCAUCCACUGUCCAACUUCACCGCAUGAUCUCCACAAGUAACACCAUGGUCCAACUCAACCAAGAACCAUCUGCAGGAAGGAGAGAAAACUCUGUUUUUCUCCCUAAAAACAGAGCAGAAUCUCCAUGCGUACCAAUCACCAACACCAUGCACAAACGUAGCACCCAUCUCACAUGCUCAACCUCUCCGUUUGAUCACCAACCAACAUUGCCACCAUCGGAUUAGAUGGAGAAGAAUAGCCCUAACCCUUUCUAGUGCAUGGACUGCCCAGCCAAUAGCAGCACAACACGCUAGUUGCUCUUCCACGCCCUCAACCUCCACGGUAAAAAUCACAUGUUGCCAACCACCAUUGCUCUCCUCUCCACCACGGCAACAACCCAAAUCACAGAACCACCGUCACCCAAGCACCUACAUAGAGAACCGAAGCCUCUGUUUUUAGCAACCAAAGCAGAGCACGACCCGUGCAUGACAGAAACCAAGUGAAGUCGCCGCACAGCCCAGUUCCAUUGCACCUUCUCCAUUUUGGCUAGCCACCAGCGCUGUAACAUCGUACCUCUUUUCAUACGGUGUUUCUGUUUUCGUGGAAUAGGUGCUGCCGCGUUCAGCCACUUCCUCGCACUAGCAUCCUCCACAUGUCUUCUCUUUCUUCCUCUCUAUGGAUUCUUCAACUUCAACCAAUGAUGUGCAAGACUCAAUACAAAGUCUAAAUAUGCCUCCGCCUCCACCCCCAUCCAAUGUAAGUGAUAAAUCUAAUAUUGGUGGGUCACAAAGUGGUAGAGUUAGGUCAAUGGUUUAGGAUCACUUUACCAGAAUACCAAAAUGUAAUCUCACUAAACCUAUGGCUGCAUGUAAUUAUUGUGGUAUUUCAUAUGCAUGUGAUACAAAGAUCAAUGAUAUGAAGUCUAUGAAGCAUCACAUUGAGAAGCAAUGUAAGAAAUGUCUGUUUAAGAAUACGGAUAAAUCCCAGACCACUCUAGGUUGGAAGGUGGAGGGAGGUAGUGUUAGUGGAGGACUUGUGCCCAUUGCAUUUAGUGUUUAGGCUUGCCGACAAGUCUUAACAGAGAUGAUUAUUGUUGAUGAAUUGCCAUUUAGGUUUGUUGAAGGGGAGGGUUUCAUAAAGUGUAUAUUUGUAGUUUGGUGUGCCCUAAGUGGGUAGAGAUUUCAUCCCAUUGGAUGAUUGCGAAUGAUUGUUUUAAUUUGUUUAUGAGGAAAAAUAAAUAAAUUGAGAAGUGCUCUUCGAUGGCAACAAAUUUUCCUCACCACAAGUACAUGGAAAUCCAUGUAAAACCUUAACUAUAUGUGUCUCACAACACAUUUUAUUAAUGAUGGGGGCGACCGAAAAUACUUGCAAUCACUCUUAAUAAUAUAAGUUCUAAUAAUGAGGCCGUUUCUUAGUUGAAAAAAAAUCAAGUAUAGGAGAGAUACGAUUUUGGAACAUGAAUUCUUGCAUGUUCGAUAUUGUACCCACAUUUUGAACUUAAUUGUCUGUGAGAGAUUGAAAGAAUAUGAGGAGUCUAUUGCGAACGUGAGGGUGUUGUGAAGAAUGUUAAAUCCUCCUCUUAAAUGUGGAGUACAUUUAAGAAAUGUGUGGGGUUGGAAGAGAUUCAAUGCAAAAGUCAUGUUUGCCUAUAUGUACCGACUAGGUGGAACUUCACCUAUCUUAUGUUGGAGAGGGUUUCAAACUUUAGAAAAGUUUCUAAUCGGUUGGAGGAAGAAGAUAUGAUCUUUUUAAGUAGUAUUGGAGAUGACGAUGAUGAAUGUGAUGUGGUGACUAGGAGAAAGUCAAAAAAGUUAGGGCCUCCCAAUGCAUCUAAUUGGGACAAGGUACAAUUGUUUGCGAAGUUUCUUGCAUUAUUUCAUGGUGCAACUUUACGCUUUUCAGGGGGUGAAUAUAUAACUUGCAAUAAUUUUUUUACGGAGUUGAUUACUAUUAAAAAUGCCAUUAAUAUAGAGUGUGAAGAAGAAAGUUCCGUGAUAGGAUUAAUGACCACAAAUAUGAAGCAAAAAUUUGAAAAGUAUUGGGAGAAUAUGAAUAAUUAGAAUAUGUUGUUGUACAUUGGAAUUGUUCUUGAUCCUCACUACAAGAUGCGAUAUCUUGACUUUGGGUUGAGAAAAAUGUAUGCAUAUAAUCCUUCAAAAAUCAUUGAUUUGUGAAGAAGUGAGUUCUCCUCAAUGCACAAGUUCUCCAAGUGAAGAUGCAAGUCCUUCCACAGAUUAGUUUGCGAAUAGACAGGCUGCAUUGAUGGCCCAAUUUAAGCAAUAAUUACAGUCAGAAAACUCUUUGGAAAGCAAGUCAGAGGUUGAUAGAUAUCUAGCUGAAAAAUGUGAGGAUCAAUGUGAUAGUUUUGACCUACUAAAUUGGUGGAAUGUGAAUUUAGUUAAAUAUCGCGUACUUUUAAAGGUUGCACGUGAUGAACUAGCAAUACCAAUAUCUACUGUGGCUUCUGAAUCUACAUUCAGCAUUGUGGGUUGUGUACUUGACCUUUUCCGAUGAUGGUUGAGGCUCUUAUAUGCAUAAAAUUGACUACGUUCUUCCUCUACUCUAAUAAGUCUUAGGAUUUUAAUGAAUGAAGUGGAGGAUUUUGAGAAGCAGAUAGAUAUGGAUAGAAUUAGAACUUGUUGGGGAAUUUGCUGAAUCUGCAGAAUGAUCAAAUUCAAUGCCUACUGGCUUUUGACCUAAUGUUGAUGUAAGACCAAAAAGGGUAUUGUGAAAACACUGAAAUUAUUAGCAAAAAUGUAGGAGCUGCCAAGGCCUAAUUGUAUAAUUUGUAUUUUGUAUUGAUGUAACUAUGUUAAUGUUUUAUGCUAUUGUUGGUCAUUUGUUUUUUAUAAGUAAUUUAUGCUACCGUUAGUCUGUUAGAGUGUUUUUGAUGUAAAUUAUUAAAUAUGACUUCUAGUCUUUGAUAUUUUUUUUAAGACCUUUUAAUUUUUAAAUUUUGAAACUUGUAUAAUUUUUAGCUUUCAUUAUCUAUGCUUGGGAAUGGAUUUUUUCUUUCUUUCUUUUACAAGGUAGAUUUGAAUCAUUUGA